UUUUGGUUCUUGUUAGCCCCAGGGCCAGUCACUGUCGUGGCACCCACUGGAAUGCUCGAGAGAAGAGGGACCCAAGAGGAUGUGGGAGCAGAAGAAAAUGGUGUUUGCAAUAUGCCUCUGCUUAAACUGCCAUUCCUGAAGGCGAUGUAACUCUUGGCAUUCUGGCACACGUGCUGGAGACAUGAUCAUAGGCCCAUGGGACCCGAGAGCCUCAGCAAGUACACAUGGCCGUCACUCAGCCUGGUCCUCUGAAACAUGCUCAGAUUGCUGCCGUGAGGCUAUCUAUAGUCUGGCAAAAUCCAUCUGAUAUGUGCAGUGAUGAACAUCUUGUGUACUUGAUCAAACACUGUGGAGAGAAUGGAAAACAGUUGUUAUAAAGGCUUUGGAAGAGUCUGGAGCCUGCGUUGAGAGCUCCCAUUAAAGAAGCUCAAUUAAUACUUAGACCAUGGACUUCCAAAGGGACUGAUUUUUCUGCCUCAGCGACACACUUCCUGAGGGAGCACAGAACGGUAGAAACUGGUAAAUUAGAGAAGGAGAUAAGACAUUUCCCUGGAUGGAAGGAACUCAGCACACCAAAGCAGGCAACAUGAGGGAAGAUUUCUUCAGAUGUAUACAGCACAGAUGCCUUGACCCCUCCAUACCUCAAGCUUAAUGUGAUUCCCAAGACUGCACGUCAUAUGUGUAGAGCCUUGAGGAGGCCUUUGGUUGGUACCGGAGUAGUUAGCCUAAGAAUCGGCGUGCAAGGCCAGAAUGCUCUCACCUCACUAACUUACUUGCCUCUCCUCUUUAACACCAUUUUACUUUUUUUGUAUAAAUGUUUUUGACACAGGGUCUCACACAAAAGCCUAGGCUGAACUCUACUCAUGGUGAUCCUCCUGCCUUAGCCUUCUCAGUACUGGAAUUAUAGGCAUGUACCACUGUGUCUGAAUAAAGGGGCCCUCCUCAGGUACAGCCACCUGAUGUUGGGCUUUUCAGCCUUAAGAACUGUGAGCUAAAACUACUUUUCUCUCAUUUAUAAACUCCCUAGGCUGAGAUAUACUGCUAUAGCAAUCAAAAAAGCCAAACAGCUCUGGCAUCAGGAAUGCUGCAUGUAAAUGCUCUCUCCAUGUUAUUGUUUCUUGGAAUUCUCCAGGAAGGAAGGCAAAAGGAAGUCAAAAGAAAGUCAAAACCACAGCUGGAUUAGGAGACCAGAGAAACUGGGAGACACCACAGCACAGGAACUGACAUCUUCAUCUAACAUCUAAUCUCUAGGGUGGCAUGAUAGCAGGCACUUUUAAUUCUAGCACUAGAGAGGCAGCUGAGGCAGGAGGAUGGAGAGAUUAAAGCCAACCCGAUGGAGUGUGAGAACCUGUCUCCAUCAAAAAGGUUCAAUCGCUGUAAAAGACAGGAAUUCUUCUAGCUGAAAAAAAAAUAGAACAAAAUCCUUGAAGGUGAGACAGUAGAACAGUUAAUUCUAGACUUUUCUAAGUGUAAGCCAAGUAGAAAUGUGGCUAUUGCCUCUGUCCUUGUAACUGUGACACUCCCCAACCCAGGGCUUUUUUUCUUUCCCAAACUCAAAAUAGAAGUGUUUAUAACGCUUGCUAUUAAAGUGUUCCUUUGCCAUGGCAGAUAAGAAAUGAGCAGCCUUGGCUAGGGCCUACCUCACAAGCAGAGCCCUCACCUCAUCCAGCUUCUCUGCAGCUUUGGGUUCUACCCACAACACCAAAGAAAAGAGAAAAGAAAUUGCAGAUCCAGUUGAAUUUCUUGUCUUGUUGGCCAUUGUCCUUAAAAACAAAUUGCUCUCAUAGAAAGAACGAGCACGGAGCUCAAUAAGAAGUCAGCUAAUCAGUCUGUGGGAAUCCGUAUGAAUAAAGUUUGCGUGUGUAAACGUGAGACACAUGCGUGACCAUUGACAAAUGACUUCCCGCCUUGACCCUCAGUUUCUUCAUAUGAGUUAGAUGACUCAUAAAAUCCUAUGAAUCACAUGUUGACAGAAUAAAUUACUGCUCGUUGUGUUUCA
Non-coding RNA from Mus caroli (Ryukyu mouse), 1999 nucleotides. The record is from RefSeq and is a predicted model, not a curated record. Lineage: Eukaryota; Metazoa; Chordata; Mammalia; Rodentia; Muridae.